This 253-nucleotide ribosomal RNA is filed under the name uncultured bacterium. RNAcentral describes it as "partial 16S ribosomal RNA". It matches the Rfam family "Bacterial small subunit ribosomal RNA", at positions 524 to 776 of the family's 1533-position model. The record is from RNAcentral.
GACAGAGGUGCCAAGCGUUAGGCGGAAUCACUGGGCUUAAAGCGUGUGUAGGCGGACUGUUAAGUACCUUGUGAAAACCCGCGGCUCAACCGCGGGCCUGCAGCCGAUACGGGCAGGCUAGAGUUCGGUAGGGGAGACUGGAAUUCCUGGUGUAGCGGUGAAAUGCGCAGAUAUCAGGAGGAACACCGAUGGCGAAGGCAGGUCUCUGGGCCGAUACUGACGCUGAGGAGCGAAAGCGUGGGGAGCGAACAGG